AUCUCUUCCAGGGCGGCAAGGUGCUUUUAUUGCCUCCAUCUCACAGAGGAGAGACCUGAGUCUUUGAAGGACAAAGGGAGGGGCCUGACAUCACAAUGCCAGUGAAUGGCAGAGCUGGGACUGGAACCCAGCUCCCUCUGUCUGCACAGCCCAAGCUAUUGGCCCACCACAGGAGCCUGCCUCCAUAGCAAUGAAAAAUAAUUGGAGUAUUUAAGAAUCAGAGUUUUACUGAUGCUCCCAUUAUGAAGAAAAAAUCAUCACUUACUAUAAGGAAGAGUUCCUGCCUUGAUUAAAGUUGGCAGAUGUGAGGGUUGUUUUGCAGUCAGGUAUAAUGGAAGCAGCACUGCCUUUCUAGGCUAGAAACCAGCCUGUCAUGCCAGCCUCUCCAAUCGCUGUGGGACCCUGGAGAAGUCGGUGAACCUCAACAGACCCUUUUCUCAUCUAAAAAUAAAAAUAAGACAAUUGGAGUAGA
Long non-coding RNA from Felis catus (domestic cat), 472 nucleotides. RefSeq lists it as uncharacterized. NCBI's taxonomy places the organism in Eukaryota, Metazoa, Chordata, Mammalia, Carnivora, Felidae. The record is from RefSeq and is a predicted model, not a curated record. The transcript has 2 exons.